This is a long non-coding RNA of Drosophila santomea, 638 nucleotides long. RefSeq lists it as uncharacterized. The record is from RefSeq and is a predicted model, not a curated record. The transcript is spliced from 2 exons. Lineage: Eukaryota; Metazoa; Arthropoda; Insecta; Diptera; Drosophilidae.
GCCAAAACUGUAAUUUGAGCUACAGUCUACAGAAAUUUCAUUUGCCUUCGACACGGGCAACAAGCUGGUCAUAUUUUCGGAACAAGUUACAAAAAAUAAAUCUAAAUUUUCAAUGUGAAAAAAAUACAGUGGACUUGAUUCCUCGCCCAAAUCGGAAGAAUCGAAGCCAUCAAUCCAUGCUGCUGACAAGGCGUCGAUUCUCCUCAUGGACGGGAGAUAUCAUAUCAACACUCAUGGCUGCCGGCGACGUUUAACGAUGAUCACCAGGCGGCCCAGUUGGGGGGGCCAUACAUCCAUCCACCCAGCUGCAAAUAAACCACAUCACAAUGGACUAUCGUCCAAAUGGUGCUACCACAAGAAGUGAAAGUAGCACCUCAACACUUUGCUGCUAUGCUGCAAACUGCGUACACACACACACACACACACACAACUUUAACAACGGCGUAAUCGGCUGCCCAAUAGAAUCGCUCGUCGUCAUUACACGUUUUGUAAAUGCGGUUUACAAUUAGUCCUGCCAAUUCACACACAUUUCCUUAUUAAUUUUAUCGUAAACCAAUUAAAUCCAAUAAUGCAGAAAUGUACUACUCACACUCACACAAAACUGAAGCUAAUAUACUUCAUUGAUGCAGAAUUUGAAA